CCUACGGGAGGCAGCAGUAGGGAAUCUUCGGCAAUGGGGGCAACCCUGACCGAGCAACGCCGCGUGAGUGAAGAAGGUUUUCGGAUCGUAAAGCUCUGUUGUAAGUCAAGAACGGGUGUGAGAGUGGAAAGUUCACACUAUGACGGUAGCUUACCAGAAAGGGACGGCUAACUACGUGCCAGCAGCCGCGGUAAUACGUAGGUCCCGAGCGUUGUCCGGAUUUAUUGGGCGUAAAGCGAGCGCAGGCGGUUUGAUAAGUCUGAAGUUAAAGGCUGUGGCUCAACCAUAGUUCGCUUUGGAAACUGUCAAACUUGAGUGCAGAAGGGGAGAGUGGAAUUCCAUGUGUAGCGGUGAAAUGCGUAGAUAUAUGGAGGAACACCGGUGGCGAAAGCGGCUCUCUGGUCUGUAACUGACGCUGAGGCUCGAAAGCGUGGGGAGCGAACAGGAUUAGAUACCCUGGUAGUCCACGCCGUAAACGAUGAGUGCUAGGUGUUGGAUCCUUUCCGGGAUUCAGUGCCGCNGCUACGCAUUAAGACACCUCCGCCGUCGGGGAGGUAACGGUACCGACCGUUAAGGUUAGUAAACGUUAAAAGUUAAGUAAGUUAGGUUACGGCGUGGAGGACGUUCGCCGAACGGACGACCGACGAGGGGAGGUUAGG
Molecule: ribosomal RNA, 659 nt
Filed under: uncultured bacterium
Lineage: Bacteria
Description: bacterial SSU rRNA
Rfam family: Bacterial small subunit ribosomal RNA (bases 1-545)
Source: RNAcentral